This 253-nucleotide ribosomal RNA is filed under the name uncultured bacterium. Its description in RNAcentral is "partial 16S ribosomal RNA". It matches the Rfam family "Bacterial small subunit ribosomal RNA", at positions 524 to 776 of the family's 1533-position model. The record is from RNAcentral.
GACAGAGGCCACAAGCGUUAGGCGGAAUCACUGGGCUUAAAGCGUGUGUAGGCGGAGGCGUAAGUGUCUUGUGAAAUCCCCCGGCUCAACCGGGGAACCGCUGGGCAUACUGCGUCUCUUGGGCCAAUCAGGGGCAGCCGGAACAAACGGUGGAGCGGUGAAAUGCGUAGAUAUCGUUUGGAACGCCGACGGCGAAAGCAGGCUGCUGGGAUUGUGCCGACGCUGAGACACGAAAGCCAGGGGAGCGAACGGG